This 87-nucleotide transfer RNA is filed under the name Streptomyces sp. ADI98-12. Its description in RNAcentral is "tRNA-Arg". The record is from RNAcentral. Lineage: Bacteria; Bacillati; Actinomycetota; Actinomycetes; Kitasatosporales; Streptomycetaceae.
GCGUCGUGGACGAGGAUGUCCGCCUCGUUCUGCGGGGUGACGUCGACCACCCGCAGGUCGCCGGUGGCCGCGUCGCGGACGACGCCC